RNAcentral lists this long non-coding RNA (249 nucleotides) under Prunus persica (peach). Its description in RNAcentral is "long non-coding RNA (PPER_LNC000907)". Lineage: Eukaryota; Viridiplantae; Streptophyta; Magnoliopsida; Rosales; Rosaceae. The record is from RNAcentral.
AAAAAUAAAGUUCUUAAAAACAAGCUAGAACAUAAUAACCCCCGUUUGAAAUACAUAGGGAUAUAAACCGCUAAUUUGUCUCUAUGUCAAAACAAGGUAUUCAAAUAAGCAUGUAAAGCGUGUUAACGAAUAUACUCGUAUACUGAACAAAUAUAUAAGGAUAUAAAUGCGCGAAUAUCAAAGAAACUGGUAUAAAAUAACUGAAAGUCAUAAUUGAAUAAAAGAAAACUCAAAAUCCUUUGAAAAUAC